UAAUUUCCAGCUUGAAUAAUUUGCACC
Molecule: non-coding RNA, 27 nt
Filed under: Bombyx mori (domestic silkworm)
Lineage: Eukaryota; Metazoa; Arthropoda; Insecta; Lepidoptera; Bombycidae
Source: RNAcentral